This 75-nucleotide transfer RNA is filed under the name Synergistaceae bacterium. RNAcentral's name for it is "tRNA-Val". It matches the Rfam family "tRNA". Rfam says of the family: Transfer RNA (tRNA) molecules are approximately 80 nucleotides in length. Their secondary structure includes four short double-helical elements and three loops (D, anti-codon, and T loops). Further hydrogen bonds mediate the characteristic L-shaped molecular structure. tRNAs have two regions of fundamental functional importance: the anti-codon, which is responsible for specific mRNA codon recognition, and the 3' end, to which the tRNAs corresponding amino acid is attached (by aminoacyl-tRNA synthetases). tRNAs cope with the degeneracy of the genetic code in two manners: having more than one tRNA (with a specific anti-codon) for a particular amino acid; and 'wobble' base-pairing, i.e. permitting non-standard base-pairing at the 3rd anti-codon position. RNAcentral also lists the same sequence under 3 other names. The record is from RNAcentral. Lineage: Bacteria; Thermotogati; Synergistota; Synergistia; Synergistales; Synergistaceae.
GGGCGGAUAGCUCAGCGGUAGAGCGCCUGCCUUACAAGCAGGUGGUCGUAGGUUCGAUCCCUGCUCCGCCCACCA